This 301-nucleotide ribosomal RNA is filed under the name uncultured bacterium. RNAcentral's name for it is "partial 16S ribosomal RNA". It matches the Rfam family "Bacterial small subunit ribosomal RNA", at positions 509 to 808 of the family's 1533-position model. The record is from RNAcentral.
CAGUCGCUCGGGAAUACAGAGGGUGCGAGCGUUAAUCGGAUUUACUGGGCGUAAAGCGUGCGUAGGCGGCUUUUUAAGUCGGAUGUGAAAUCCCUGAGCUUAACUUAGGAAUUGCAUUCGAUACUGGGAAGCUAGAGUAUGGGAGAGGAUGGUAGAAUUCCAGGUGUAGCGGUGAAAUGCGUAGAGAUCUGGAGGAAUACCGAUGGCGAAGGCAGCCAUCUGGCCUAAUACUGACGCUGAGGUACGAAAGCAUGGGGAGCAAACAGGAUUAGAUACCCGGGUAGUCCCUGUCUCUUAUACA